RNAcentral lists this ribosomal RNA (497 nucleotides) under uncultured bacterium. Its description in RNAcentral is "partial 16S ribosomal RNA". It matches the Rfam family "Bacterial small subunit ribosomal RNA", at positions 28 to 507 of the family's 1533-position model. The record is from RNAcentral.
GAUGAACGCUGGCGGCGUGCCUAAUACAUGCAAGUCGAACGCAUAGCGAAAGGUGCUUGCACCUUUCACGUGAGUGGCGAACGGGUGAGUAACACGUGGACAACCUGCCUCAAGGCUGGGGAUAACAUUUGGAAACAGAUGCUAAUACCGAAUAAAACUUAGUGUCGCAUGACACAAAGUUAAAAGGCGCUUCGGCGUCACCUAGAGAUGGAUCCGCGGUGCAUUAGUUAGUUGGUGGGGUAAAGGCCUACCAAGACAAUGAUGCAUAGCCGAGUUGAGAGACUGAUCGGCCACAUUGGGACUGAGACACGGCCCAAACUCCUACGGGAGGCUGCAGUAGGGAAUCUUCCACAAAGGGCGAAAGCCUGAUGGAGCAACGCCGCGUGUGUGAUGAAGGCGUUCGGGUCGUAAAGCACUGUUGUAUGGGAAGAACAGCUAGAAUAGGAAAUGAUUUUAGUUUGACGGUACCAGACCAGAAAGGGACGGCUAAAUACGUG